UAAAUCAGCUGGAUGGGGGACACGUCCAAUCAAUUUUAUAAUAAAAUAAUGUCCUUUCUGGGUUGAUUUACUGUAUUGAACCUGAGAGGGCAGCUGCAGAAUCUGAAACCAGAGGGUGCAGAUUUUGCUUCAUCUGGUGAAUUUUGUGGAAAAGUCGGGAACAGGGAGAGCAACUGCCAGUUCCUGCCUCUGGGUGGCUGGGAAGAAGCUGCUGAACUUCAGCCCAAGAUUCUCUUCGAAUUGUUCCACGUCUUUCCCAAAAUGUGAUGCCCAACAUGGAAUAAAGUAACCCAGCCAAGACCAGAGGAGUGUGGAAGGAUUAUUUCCCAUGUCUUACUAUUUCCCCAAUGUCUGCCAGUGCUCAAAUCCAGCAUUGAAGAAGAUGUUUUCUACUGCUGUUGUAGAUGGAUGCUGCUGGUGAAUCAGAACGUGAAAUAGGCUAAUUAAUGAUCUUUGGAACAACCAAAUCCCUCCAGGUUUCAGUUUUACCUGAAGGGAUGAUGUGCCAGCAAAAGAGAAAUGCAAGACACAUUAAAAUAAUACAGUAAUAUUACUACAUGGAGUAAAUUUCAGGAAAAAA
Chiroxiphia lanceolata (lance-tailed manakin) is the source of this 580-nucleotide long non-coding RNA. RefSeq lists it as uncharacterized. The record is from RefSeq and is a predicted model, not a curated record. NCBI's taxonomy places the organism in Eukaryota, Metazoa, Chordata, Aves, Passeriformes, Pipridae. The transcript is spliced from 4 exons.